GACGAACGCUGGCGGCGUGCCUAAUACAUGCAAGUAGAACGCUGAAGACUUUAGCUUGCUAAAGUUAGAAGAGUUGCGAACGGGUGAGUAACGCGUAGGUAACCUGCCUACUAGCGGGGGAUAACUAUUGGAAACGAUAGCUAAUACCGCAUAACAGCAUUUAACCCAUGUUAGAUGCUUGAAAGGAGCAAUUGCUUCACUAGUAGAUGGACCUGCGUUGUAUUAGCUAGUUGGUGAGGUAACGGCUCACCAAGGCGACGAUACAUAGCCGACCUGAGAGGGUGAUCGGCCACACUGGGACUGAGACACGGCCCAGACUCCUACGGGAGGCAGCAGUAGGGAAUCUUCGGCAAUGGGGGCAACCCUGACCGAGCAACGCCGCGUGAGUGAAGAAGGUUUUCGGAUCGUAAAGCUCUGUUGUAAGAGAAGAACGUGUGUGAGAGUGGAAAGUUCACACAGUGACGGUAACUU
RNAcentral lists this ribosomal RNA (471 nucleotides) under uncultured bacterium. RNAcentral describes it as "bacterial SSU rRNA". It matches the Rfam family "Bacterial small subunit ribosomal RNA", at positions 28 to 481 of the family's 1533-position model. The record is from RNAcentral.